RNAcentral lists this long non-coding RNA (219 nucleotides) under Brassica rapa (field mustard). RNAcentral's name for it is "long non-coding RNA (BRAP_LNC007127)". Lineage: Eukaryota; Viridiplantae; Streptophyta; Magnoliopsida; Brassicales; Brassicaceae. The record is from RNAcentral.
GAAACCCCAUUGAGGAGAAGAAAGGAAGUGGGCAUCUUUAUAGACAAAUUUAGAUAGACUUUAUUAAUCAUCUUUAUAGACAAAUUAUAUUUAGUUUCCCUAAUGGCGCAUAUCAACUAUCAAGUCCAUGCAUGCUGAUUAACAAGUGUAGAAUCUAUUAAUAUAUCCAAAAAACAAAUGUAGAUAAAACAUGCCUAAGUAUUAAUUAGUCGUCAUUUU